GUGAUGUGGAGUCCAGAUGUAGCUCAAAUAAUAAUGAAGUAUAUUAUCGGGCAACGAUGAACACCUUUUCGAGAGAAGUUGUCAGACAAACAUGGGAAACCCAUAUUCAUAAGACUCCAUCUCCCAAGUAUUAUGUCCCAGACAUGUAACGGUCCCUACCAAAAUUGCAUAUGCGGUAGGCACCUGACUAUGUCUGGUUUUUCAAACUAAGAAUAAAAACAGGCAUUCAGUCAUUAC
RNAcentral lists this long non-coding RNA (237 nucleotides) under Medicago truncatula (barrel medic). Its description in RNAcentral is "lncRNA gene38902". Lineage: Eukaryota; Viridiplantae; Streptophyta; Magnoliopsida; Fabales; Fabaceae. The record is from RNAcentral.